AUUGAACGCUGGCGGCAGGCCUAACACAUGCAAGUCGAGCGGAUGAAGGGAGCUUGCUCCUGGAUUCAGCGGCGGACGGGUGAGUAAUGCCUAGGAAUCUGCCUGGUAGUGGGGUAUAACGUCCUGAAACGGGCGCUAAUACCGCAUACGUCCUGAGGGAGAAAGUGGGGGAUCUUCGGACCUCACGCUAUCAGAUGAGCCUAGGUCGGAUUAGCUAGUUGGUGGGGUAAAGGCCUACCAAGGCGACGAUCCGUAACUGGUCUGAGAGGAUGAUCAGUCACACUGGAACUGAGACACGGUCCAGACUCCUACGGGAGGCAGCAGUGGGGAAUAUUGGACAAUGGGCGAAAGCCUGAUCCAGCCAUGCCGAGUGUGUGAAGAAGGUCUUCGGAUUGUAAAGCACUUUAAGUGGGGAGGAAGGGCAGUAAGUUAAUACCUUGCUGUUUUGACGUUACCAACAGAAUAAGCACCGGCUAACUUCGUG
Molecule: ribosomal RNA, 484 nt
Filed under: uncultured bacterium
Lineage: Bacteria
Description: partial 16S ribosomal RNA
Rfam family: Bacterial small subunit ribosomal RNA
Source: RNAcentral